Long non-coding RNA from Felis catus (domestic cat), 7439 nucleotides. RefSeq lists it as uncharacterized. The transcript is spliced from 3 exons. The record is from RefSeq and is a predicted model, not a curated record. NCBI's taxonomy places the organism in Eukaryota, Metazoa, Chordata, Mammalia, Carnivora, Felidae.
CCUCCGCCUCCUCCUUCCUCCUCCUCUUCCCCCCCUCCUCCUCCCUCCCCAUCCUCCUCUUUCUCUCCAGACUCCUUCACCUCCCUCGCCCUCCUCUUCCUCCUCACCCAGGUUUUCCCAGACCCUUAUGGAAAAGAAGUGUUCCACCUUCCUGGCCUUGAUGGCUGUGCCUCAGGCACUGAACCAUCCGUGGCAGGCAUAGUGUUCGGUGCAUACUAGUCACUCACUACUUGUUUGCUAAUCUCCACUCAACUGAACUCUGUCAAAUUUUUAAAUGGAUUGCAUUUGGGUAGGGGAGAGGCAGAGGGUAGUGUGCCUUUGGAGCAGGAGGGCUAGGCAAUAUUGCAGGAAAAUCUUACCCAAAUUAGCAACUCAGUGUCCGAUUGGGGGAAGAAAUAAGAGUUCUACUAAAAGGUGGGCAGUCUAUGAACAUUUUAACAGAGGCACAAGGAAAGUAGUCUGGAAGGGAGAAGUAAACUAGGAGACACAAAAAAAAAACACUGGGAGAACUUGGGACUAGCCAUAAAAGGUUAGGGAGUGAAAGCAAUCCCAUGAUGCAAUUACAGCCUCCCUAACGUGUGAAGAAUCCCUACUCCAAAAAGUUGUCUGUCUGUCUCAACUGUCUUAAUUUCAUCAACAACCAAUGAUACUAGUUUUUAAAGACAUUUAAUGGACAUGCAUACAGAAGGACUCAGGGAGAGGCUAAUAUGGAGAAUAGACUAUAUGGGGCAGGGAGGAAGUAGGGAGAUCAUUUAGGAGACUAUUGAAAUAAUUCUUUGAGGAGAUAAUUUUGGUUUGGUCCAGAGUGGUAAUGCAGGUGAUGAGAGGUUGUUAAUUUUGUAUACAAGUUGAAGGUAGGACUAACUAAUAAGAUUUGUGACAGACUGGACAUGGAGUAUGAGAGAAAGAGAAGGAUGACUCCACAAAAUUUGGCCUGACCAACUGGAAGGAUGGAGUUGAUAUUUAGGGAGCUGGAGAAAACUGCAAGAAGAGUAUGUUGUGGGGAAGGGUAGGAAUCAGAGGUUUGGUACCUGGGGUACCCAACAUUUAGAGUUUGGGAGACGGAGAAGAAGCAAUCAGUGAGGUAGAAAGAGAACUAAGAGAUGUGUUCUAGAAGCUGAAUGAAGAAAAUAUUUCAAGAAGGAAGGAAUGUGGUUGUUGUGUAUUGGUUUGUUGUGAUUUCCAAAUCUCCGCAUUUAUGACAAAAACGAGAUUGUUUUUAAGAGUCAAGUUUUGAUUAAGAAUGAAGUAAGCUGCGACGGGCUAAGGACAUCGCGUCUGUUGUUGUUUAUAAGCACUUAGGAGCUCAGGUGCUGGGGGCUUAGCAGUAAAAACGUAUGAAGGAAGAAGCAGCUAUGGCAAGGGGGACAUUAAGACUCUAAAUACGAAGAGUUUGUAAGGACUAUCAGAGGGUGUUUGCUCUGUGCAAGGUGACUGUCUCCGCUGACCACAGUUCCCGGAAGACCUUGGGACAAUUAACGCCUGCUGCUGUAAAGACAAUUCUUACCCUCAGUGCAAAACCCAAGUAAUGGCAGACCAAGGAGACCUUGCUGAUCAGCAGUAACAUGCUACUAGCAACAGGGGAUUUUUAGUUUUGCGCUGCCAGCGGUUGAUUGGCUAAGCCCGCUCUCCUGAGUAUCAACUGGUAUAAAGGAACACUUCAACUAAAUAUGGUCUUUCUUUCAUCUUCCCUUGCCUGGAACAAUAGUGUGAUUAAUCUGUCAUGGGUUUGGAGUAUGUUAUUCUUUACUGGGUUAUUAAGAGACAUUAUCCUGUAUGCCAUUGUUUUAUAAAAUUCCUACAGCGAACCUGUGAAAAAUAAAUUCCUGGGACAGACAAACUCAGUCUCUGAGGAUUAAUUUGCCUCCCCCCAAAAAACCGUGCUCAGCCAAGUCAAUGUUAUGUCGAAUAAGGAUUGAGAUUUGAUUACUGGACUUAAUAGAUUCAAUGUCAUUCGUGAUGGUAGUAAGAGCAGUUUCACUGUAGACAGGCAAACAGAACCCUAACUGGAGAUCGUUCCAGAGAAAACAGGAGUGAGUAUUUCAACUCAUUUCAAAUAGAGUGGGGCUACUGGAGGAUUUUUUUUUUAAGACUAGAGAUAUUAUAGUAUGUUUACUGAUAGAGGUAAUCUAGUAAGUAGCCAGGGGAAAAAAUCAUGAUAUAAGAGACAAAGGAGAGAAAUGCUGUAAUGAUGGCCUUGAGUAGGUAAAAGAGGAUGCAAUCUAGUGUAUAAGUUGAAAGAUUAACCUUAGGAAUAUGGAGAAUUCAUCCAUAAUACAAGAAGAAGGAAAGUGUACGGUAACUAAUUUAUGGCAGAUGUGGGCAUCGGAGAUUGUAGCAUUCUCUUCUGAUUGCUUCUGUUUUCUCACUGAAAUAAAAAGCAAGAUCUAGACUAGGUUAUGUUGUAGUAACAAACAACCUCCCUCUGUAUUGCAGCAGUUCAACACAUCAAAGGCGUGUUUCUCUCUUGCUAAAUGUCUAUUGCUGAUCAGCCUGGGAAUGCUGCUCUGACUCAUCCAUGGGGCUAGAGGGCUCUCUGUGCUCCUCUAUGGCUGACACUGAAAAGAGAAGAGUGGCAUACUGCCACUUAGAGCCUCUGUCUGGAAGUGUUAUGUCACCCUUCUACGUGUCACUGGCCAAAAUAAGCAACACUGCCAUAUCUAAUUCAAAGUGGGGCUAUGGGUGCAGUCUUACCAUGCUUCUGGAAGGAAAGGAAACCAGAACAUUUGUGAGUGGAAGAGGAGGCUUGGACGAUUAUGGAGAGUGAAGGCAUAAAAUAAUGUUUUGGAGAGUGGGAUAACAGGUGUAAAUAUGACUAAGGACUGAAUGAAUGCCAAGGACGGGGGGGCAUAUGUUAAAACCGGUUAGGGUGAUGGGCUAGGUGGUGCCAGAUGAAGGAAGGAUCAGAGAUAAAGUGGUCAGGUCCCGUGGAGGAAAACAAAACUAAACAAACAAAAGGUCCAGUAGAAUAAAAAAGAGGAGGAUGUUUGAUUUGCAGAAGUACAUAAUGAGGAACAUUCUAGAGAUGGGUGCCGUGGAGCAAUGGGACUGCAAGCCAGAUGGUGGAUGUGCAGUGCAACCUGUAAGUUCUCUUUUUGAGCGGCCCUGCCCGCUUCUUUUGCCAACAGUGCCUUGAUUUCCUUACACAGGGUUCAUUUAGUCUUCAUGGGUACCUCUACAUGUAUUUGCAACUUGCUUUACAAAAUACAUGUGAGCUCUCUACUUUGUGUAGCAAGCUAUAAAGACUUUCUCCAGUUGCCUAAAUUAUCAGGAGUCAGAAGACAUUAAGUUGACAAGAAAUUGGGCAUAUAUUAUUUUUGAGAGGCCCUAUUUUAAAGAUCAUAAUGGAUCUGAGAGGAUUUUAUUAUCCAAAAAUAAAUUGUUAUGACAAUUCAAAAAGUACUGUCACCUUAUUACUUUUAUAAACUGUAAAGAUUGGUCAGGGCUUGUAACAGGGCUUUAUUGCUUCCUUGUCAUCAAAAACACCAACAAGAAGUGACUAUGGUGCAUAGAGUAAUGGCCUCCCAAGGACGUCUGUCUGCUAAUCUCCAGAGCCUGUGCAUAUGUUAUAGUUCAUGGUCAAGGGGAAUGGCAGCACAUGAAAUUUAGUUUGCUAAUCAGCUGGAUUUAAAAUAGGGAGAUUAUGUUGAAUUAUCUAGACGGGCCUUGAAGGUUGAAGAAGGGGACACAAGAGUAAGUAUCAUAGUGAUGCCAUGUGAAAAAGAUUCAACUGGCCAUUGCUGGCUUUGAAGAUGGAAGGGGGUCAUGAGCCAGGGAAAAUGGCAAUCUCUAAAAGGUAGAAAAGGCAAGGAAAUUAGAUUUUCCUCUCAAACCUCCAGAAAGGAAUGCAGCCUGGCCAACAUCUUUCUGUUGGCCCAGGGAGACCUGUUUUGGACUUCUGACUCCCAGGACUGUUAGAUAAUAAAUUUUUGCUGGAUGAAGUGUGUUCUAAGUUUGUGGUAAUGUGGUAAAGCAGCAAUAGGAAGCUAAUAGAGUGACUAAUCAUAUUGGACGACCGACCUUGACCCUUUUAUCUUCCCCCAAAGAAGGGAAAUUGGCAAUCCCAAACCUUGGUCCCUACCAAAUCACUACCAAACCAGUGACUUAUUUCAAGGACCUGUUGGUUAAUCAGUAGUGUUGGAGGAAAUAUGAAUCAACUUGUCUCUCCAGAAGGAUCGCCCGUGUUAAGCAAUGGGCAAGGAAAACUAUUUGGCACCAUUUACUUGAGUCAGUUGGAAGAAAAGAUGAAAUUCGCAGGCUCUCUCUAGACGGCUUCUUCCCUUGGGCUCACUAUACAUUUCAGGUGAAUCUGUGAAUAUCCUGAAAUGGUCUACAAGUUGAGUUGCUUCUGAGGACUUUUCUGGUGAACAGAUCCUUCCAGAGAUCUGUGACCAGAAAGUUGCUAGCUAUGCAGCUGUGGUGUCGCACACAAUGCUGUGGUCUUGGUGUUACAGUAAAAAAAAAAGCUACAACUGAUGGAGCCUCUGCUAUGACGUGUGUUGUCACACAGCCCACCGCGCUUUAACCCUCCCAGCCUCCCUCCUAGCUAUUAAUAAUCCUAGCUAUUAAUAAUCCCCCAUUUCACAUGAGAAAAUUGUGUUGCACAGAAGCUGACGAACUGGCCUCAGUUUUGUAGCCAGGGAACGGUGGUGCCACCUUCCUCCACCUCUUUCUUUACAUGACAUCCUGCUGCUCCCCAGCCGGCUGCCUAUCCGUACCUGUUUCUUAUUAUUGUAUUACUUCCAAGACUCACAGAAACUCUGCAAGGUUGUCUUCGUUUUAUGAACAAAGAAACUAAGGUUCAGAGAACUGAAGCAAAUUUCCCAAAGAUACUCAACAAGGAGUUAAACAUGCCACAUAAUUCAAACUAUGAUUAUUUUAUUCUGAAGAAAAGAUGGCCUCAAAAAAAGCUGUUGAGAGCAGCUCUAAAGGCAGAAGAAAUCUGUGAGAAGUGAACCUGAAUCCAUCAGGCCAAAGCAGCAGCCGAGGGAGAAGAGAGGUGACCAGCAGGGAGAAGCCUGAGCUUUGUGUGAUGCCCUGUAGAUGUGGUCUUUCCAGAAGAACAUCGUCCACAGUGACCAACCAAAAAUGUGGGGAGCACGGAGAAGAAAAGGCAAGUGGAUGCACUUAGUUCCCCAUCUUCUUGUCUUCUUUCGUUCUGAGGCACAACAGAUUGUUCCUUGAUGGGGGUUAGAAACCAGGUAGAAGAAAGCAUAUUCUGUACCGUGAGCCACUUAAGAUUUAGAGACAGCUACAGAGAAGCCGGGAAAGACAGAGAGAGAGGGGGGAAAGAGGAAGAAGAAGAAGAAGAAAAGACAAGCUAAGAUAAAAAUCAUUCCCACUUAUAUAGCUGGAAUGUUUAUAAUGUAAAGAGACAGCUGCAUUAAAGGAUUAGGCCCCACUGCCUGAUUAACAUCAUUUGAUCUUUUGCUAUUGAAAAGACCCUGUGUAUUUUCAAAGGCAGUGGGUUUCUUAAAUAAAACCAGGAGUCUGGGUUAGCAGAAAGCUGUUAAAAAACAACGCACUUUUAGUUUAGUAAUCUUUUUGUCCUACCUGCUUCAUAAUCUUCAGUUUCCUUCUUUGUGUUCUUGGGGGAGGGGGCUGCACCUAAAUCUGAAAAUUGGGGCUCCAGGAAAUACGAUAUGACAAAAAUAAGCAUGAAAAGUCAUGAUGACCUAAAUCGGUCAAAUCAGAUUUUUCCCAUGAAUAUCAUCCUGGGGAGCUUCUUUUUCUGUUUUGUUCUGAGUUUAUUUUUCUUAUCCUUUACUCUCCAUUGCCAACCAUCACCACACAGUGAGAGAGAUUAGCACAUCAUUAUACCAUACCAUUUUCAUGUUUUACUUUCUAUAUUAUUAAUCUGCUUUUCUUUCUUCCUCCCUCCCUCCCUCCUUUCCUUCCUUCCUUCCUUCCUUCCUUCCUUCCUUCCUUCCUUCCUUAAAAGUGAGAUCGGAACUCUUAACUGAAUUAGAUAGAAAUUGAUUGUGAGGAAGUCAAAAUUUUCCAUUAGCCAACUUGUGGGAGGAAUCAGAGCAUCUCCACAUCCAUACUGUCAUCCCAGGGUGGCCGGGCAAAGAGGUGGGAGGGCCUCUGGUCAUUUGAGAGGACCAAGCAGUCGUCAUAACUAGUUCAGUCUCUGUGGCCCAUUCAGCUCUUGGCAUAGUUGCCAAGCCAGCCAACAAAGGAGCAUUGUAAUCCUGACAGUUUCCCAGCAUUGACUGGACAGGCACAGACCACCAACCAGCUCCCUUCACUCCUACUGUUCACAAGUGAGACCAUGAAUGGAAAAAAAAAGUCAGUGGCAAAAAUCCCACAUCCUGCUAAGUUGCUGUGCAGAUGCUUUUCUAGCGAGUGAGUCUCCCUCCAGGCUGGUGAUGCUCAUACCUGUUUCCUUUUUCUUUUUUGUUUGUUUGUGUUUAAGUGUAUUUAGCUGAAAUGGUGAUAACAUAAUUCUCACUGAUCCCUACCAAAAAAAUUAGGUUCGACUUUUGAUAAAUGAGCAUAUGGCACGCAGUAGUAUGGAAAAUGGGAAGUGUAACAAAAAUAAAAUGUCAUAAAUGUAAAGAAGAUAAAUUGAGGUAGGCUGCUGCUGAGUUAAGAAACUAGUGGUACAAGCCACUGUGAAUCUUAAGCAGUUGAAUUUGGAGAUAGAAGAAUAUGGUUUUCAGGUAUAAAGGGGAAUCAUUUUAACUCAAUUUUGAAUUUUGAAUAUGUGCCCCAAAGUCUGCCCUUUCUGUAGACCAAGCCAAGGACGUCUCCAACUCUGGUUUUAAAAAUAGCAAUUAGUGAAAUAAAAUUUUUUAGAACCGUGUAAAUUCAAGAGAUAUAUAUCAUGUAUUUAUUACCGAUUAAAGGUCAGGAAGUAUUUUUAACAAUUAGAUAAAAUGAUCUUUUAAUAUGUUUCAAUGGUCAAUGUGGCAUAAUUUUAUCUAUUUAAAUUGCCUUUUUAAAAAUAAGUACAGAUUCCAGUCACGGGAUGCCAUAUUUACGUACCAGUUUUCAAAUAUUCAAACAACUGACAGUGUGCUCCAUGCUGACGGUGGAGGUAGAAGAAUAUGGUGUAUAAAUUGGAUCCACAGAUUUAGACAGCAAUUUAGCAGAAUCUUAGUAGUACUCUGUCCCUUUGACUCAGUUGUCCUACUUCUUAAAAUAUAUUUAUGUGUUUAUAUAUUACAUACGUAUGUGAAAAAUAUUAUACUGAAGGCAAAAUAAGGCAAAUACAGUAUUAUUCAUCAAGGAGAAAAUAAAAGCAAAAACAGAAAGAAACAAAGCCCCCAAACAAAAUGAAAAUAGAAUUACCUUGUUAACCCUAAAUAAAUCUACAUGAUAGGAUACUAUGUAGCUAUUAAAAAUUGAUGUAUCCAGGGGCACCUGGGUGGCUCCCUCGGUUCAGCGGCUAAGUCUCCAACUCUUGAUUUUAGGUCAGGUCAUGAACUCAUGGU